RNAcentral lists this unclassified non-coding RNA (351 nucleotides) under soil metagenome. Its description in RNAcentral is "partial contains 5.8S ribosomal RNA, internal transcribed spacer 2, and large subunit ribosomal RNA". The stretch from base 4 to 119 matches the Rfam family "5.8S ribosomal RNA", at positions 39 to 154 of the family's 154-position model. The record is from RNAcentral.
GAUAAGAACGCAGCGAAAUGCGAUAAGUAAUGUGAAUUGCAGAAUUCAGUGAAUCAUCGAAUCUUUGAACGCACAUUGCGCCCGCCAGUAUUCUGGCGGGCAUGCCUGUUCGAGCGUCAUUACAACCCUCAGGCCCCCGGGCCUGGCGUUGGGGAUCGGCGGAAGCCCCCUGUGGGCACACGCCGUCCCUCAAAUACAGUGGCGGUCCCGCCGCAGCUUCCAUUGCGUAGUAGCUAACACCUCGCAACUGGAGAGCGGCGCGGCCAUGCCGUAAAACACCCAACUUCUGAAUGUUGACCUCGAAUCAGGUAGGAAUACCCGCUGAACUUAAGCAUAUCAAUAAGCGGAGGA